CACGUAGGGUGCGAGCGUUGUCCGGAAUUAUUGGGCGUAAAGAGCUCGUAGGCGGUGUGUCGCGUCGGCCGUGAAAACCUGGGGCUUAACUCUGGGCGUGCGGUCGAUACGGGCAUCACUGGAGUUCGGCAGGGGAGACUGGAAUUCCUGGUGUAGCGGUGAAGUGCGCAGAUAUCAGGAGGAACACCGGUGGCGAAGGCGGGUCUCUGGGCCGAUGACUGACGCUGAGGAGCGAAAGCGUGGGGAGCGAACAGGA
This 256-nucleotide ribosomal RNA is filed under the name uncultured bacterium. Its description in RNAcentral is "partial 16S ribosomal RNA". It matches the Rfam family "Bacterial small subunit ribosomal RNA", at positions 524 to 777 of the family's 1533-position model. The record is from RNAcentral.